AAUGAACGCUGGCGGCGUGGUUAAGACAUGCAAGUCGAACGGUUUUCAUUGAAGGGCAACCGGAUAUGAAAGCAGUGGCGAACGGGUGCGUAACACGUGAACAAUCUACCUCCAAGUGGGGAAUAGCUCGCCGAAAGGCGAAUUAAUACCGCAUGUGGUAGUUUCUCGCAUGAGAGACUUACUAAAGUCAGGGACCGCAAGGCCUGACGCUGGGAGAGGAGUUCGCGGCCUACAGCUAGUUGGCGAGGUAACGGCUCACCAGGGCUAAGACGGGUAGCUGGUCUGAGAGGAUGAUCAGCCACACUGGAACUGGGACACGGUCCAGACACCUACGGGU
RNAcentral lists this ribosomal RNA (337 nucleotides) under uncultured bacterium. Its description in RNAcentral is "bacterial SSU rRNA". It matches the Rfam family "Bacterial small subunit ribosomal RNA", at positions 29 to 346 of the family's 1533-position model. The record is from RNAcentral.